This 451-nucleotide small RNA is filed under the name Pan troglodytes (chimpanzee). RNAcentral's name for it is "processed transcript". The record is from RNAcentral. Lineage: Eukaryota; Metazoa; Chordata; Mammalia; Primates; Hominidae.
AGUUCAGUCUUAUUCUAGAGUUUGAGUGAUAUAUGAUAUAAAAAUGGUAAAAAAAAAAUAGUACAUAAGACCUGCUAUAAUAUACUGCCUCCUCCAACAUGAUGAAAGGAGAAAUAGUAUGACUUGAAGACAUUUUAAAGGGUUGUUUGAAAUAGAUUGUUUGGGGGAAUGGGUAAUCUUGAGGGCAGGAAGCUGAGGGGAAAUACUGUUGAAAUUGGGAAGAUUAAAAGAAGCCAGUGAAGUGUUCAAAAACUUGAUUGAUCGGAAUGCAGAAAAUUGGUGUUAUUAUGAAGGCUUGGAAAAAGCUCUACAAAUUAGCACUUUAGAAGAGAGGCUUCAAAUUUAUGAAGAAAUUAGUAAGCAGCACCCCAAAGCAAUUACACCCAGAAGAUUACCUUUGACUCUUGUCCCAGGUGAAAGAUUUAGAGAACUAAUGGAUAAGUUCCUGAGG